CCUACGGGUGACAGCAGUGAGGAAUAUUGGUCAAUGGACGCAAGUCUGAACCAGCCACGCCGCGUGCAGGAAGACGGCUCUAUGAGUUGUAAACUGCUUUUGUACGAGGGUAAACGCAGAUACGCGUAUCUGUCUGAAAGUAUCGUACGAAUACGGAUCGGCUAACUCCGUGCCAGCAGCCGCGGUAAUAGAGAGGGUUCAAGCGUUAUCCGGAUUUAUUGGGUUUAAGGGGUGCGUAGGCGGUCGGAUAAGUUAGAGGUGAAAUCCCGGGGCUCAACUUCGGAAUUGCCUCUGAUACUGUGCGGCUAGAGAGUAGUUGCGGUAGGCGGAAUGUAUGGUGUAGCGGUGAAAUGCUUAGAGAUCAUACAGAACACCGAUUGCGAAGGCAGCUUACCAAGCUACUUCUGACGUUGAGGCACGAAGGCGUGGGGAGCAAACAGGAUUAGAUACCCCAGUAGUC
RNAcentral lists this ribosomal RNA (460 nucleotides) under uncultured bacterium. Its description in RNAcentral is "partial 16S ribosomal RNA". It matches the Rfam family "Bacterial small subunit ribosomal RNA", at positions 338 to 795 of the family's 1533-position model. The record is from RNAcentral.